GUGAAACAUAAGAUAUUAUAGUUGUUAAUGUCCCGUUGGUAGGAGAGUCUUGAGCGGAGAUCAUCCAGUUUAUUUUGCAGUGAUUGCACGUUGGCCAGUAGAACAGAGAGGCGGGUUACCAACUCGUGACAAAUUCUCACAAGGCACCCUGAUCUCCGCCCCCUGUAUUUCUGUAUUUUCUUCACGUUAAUGACAGGGUCUUGGAGAAGCCUUUUUCCUUCGCGUCGGACUCAUUAAAGAAAGAAUCUUCGUCCAGUUUGAGAUGAAAUCCUGCGACUAGUGAUGUCCGGCCGCCAACAACAUGCCCACCUGACCCCAUCCCCUUCUCCAGACCAUCUCUGGAGACCUUCUCCCAUUCCUCACUUCCCUCACCAACUCAUCCCUGACCACUGGCUGCGUCCCCUCUGACUUCAAGAUGGCCAGAGCUGCUCCCCUCCUAAAGAAACCAACACUCGACCCCUCUGACGUCAAAAACUACCAGGCAAUCUAUCCGCUGCCUUCGACACAGUGAACCAUCAGAUCCUCCUCUCCACCCUCUCAAGAUUGGCCAUCUCAGGCACUGCAUAAUUGGUUCUAGGCCCUCUCCUCUUUUCUCUUUACACCAAGUCACUCGGGUCUGUCAUAUUCUCACAUGGUCUCUGCUAUCACUGCUAUGCGGAUGACAAUCAACUACUCUUCUCCUUAACCCCUUCUGACAUCCAGGUGGCAACACGCAUCUCUGCGUGCCUGGCAGAUAUUUCAGCUUGGAUGUCGGCCCACCACCUCAAACUCAACCUCGUCAGAACGGAGCUGCUCUUCCUCCUGGGGAAGGCCUGCCCGCUCCAAGACCUCUCCAUCACGGUUGAGAACUCCACAGAUCCCCCCUCCAAGAGUGGUGUGACCAUGGACAACACCCUGUCAUUCUCUGCAAACAAUAAAGCAGUGACUUGCUCCUGCAGGUUCAUGCUCUACAACCCUCAAACUCAACUCUGGACCUCGAAGCCAGUUCCACUGCAUUUUUUCCUUGUUCAGGGACUGAUUUAGACCUGUGACACCAGGCUUGUUCAAGUCAUUAUCAGGUAAAACAGAAAACCAGCAGGCUGCGGACCUUGUAGUGUAAGAGUUGAAUACCCCGGCUCUACAACAUCUGUAGAGUAUGACCUUUCCUCACACAGGAAGUGGUGCAGGUCCUAAUCCAGGCACUUGUCAUAUCCCAUCUAGACUUUUGCAACCCUCUGUUGGCUGGGUUAGGGUUAGGGUUAGGGUUAGGGUUAGGGUUAGGGUUAACCCUAACCCUUGUGCCAUCAUAUCCCUGCAAGUUAUCCAGAAUACCGCAACCCGCCUGGUGUUCAACCUUCCUAAGUUCUCCCAUGUCACCCCGCUCCUCCAUACACUCCACUGGCUUGCAGUCAAAGCUCGCAUCAUCUUCAAGAUCCUGGUGCUUGCCUACAGAGCAGCAAGGGGAACCAGGGGCGGAUUGGGCAUCUUUGCAAUUUUGGCAAAUGCCAGAUGGGCUCGACCAUUCUUUUAUUGGGAGGGCUGGUCAAAAUUGACACCCUCAAAAAUGUAUAUAAAAAUAAAACAAUGAAAAAGGU
Molecule: long non-coding RNA, 1574 nt
Organism: Salvelinus fontinalis (brook trout)
Lineage: Eukaryota; Metazoa; Chordata; Actinopteri; Salmoniformes; Salmonidae
Exons: 3
Source: RefSeq, a predicted model, not a curated record